AACCGAGUACUGCCGCAGUGUUCUGACUGUGGUAAGGUAGCAUAAUAAUUAGUUAUUUGAUUGAUAACUAGAAUGAAUGGCUUGACGAGAAGUAUAUUUUCUUCAAUUUUAUUUAAAUUAAUUAAUAAAUAAAAAAGUUUAUAUAUAUUAGACUGACGAUAAGACCCUAAAACCUUUAGAUAUAAAUUUUAACA
Molecule: ribosomal RNA, 194 nt
Filed under: Deto marina
Lineage: Eukaryota; Metazoa; Arthropoda; Malacostraca; Isopoda; Scyphacidae
Description: partial large subunit ribosomal RNA
Source: RNAcentral